Molecule: long non-coding RNA, 1006 nt
Organism: Drosophila innubila
Lineage: Eukaryota; Metazoa; Arthropoda; Insecta; Diptera; Drosophilidae
Exons: 3
Source: RefSeq, a predicted model, not a curated record
AGGCUGAGGGCAACGCAGCGUCAGUCUCGACUGAAGCGGCGUGCUGUGUGUUAAAAGCGGCAGGUGCAAAAGCAACAAGAAAGCUGCGUCGGCUAAUUGUAUAGCAUACUUUUUGGCGCGAGCAUAAAAUAAAAUACGUUGUGGCGAGUAUCGCCCGUAACUGAAGUUGAAUGAAUAAGAAAUGUGAAAUGUGACAGACACAAUGACAGUUUAACAUUUGCAACAACUACAACUACAGCAACAACAGAACAAACAGCUUAAAGAAGGAAAGACACAAAAACAAGAAAAAUAAAACCAAAGCAGACGGUACAAGUUGUCCUGUUACUCGUCCUGCCUCGUCCUGUUGGCCCCAGGAGACAUUUAACAUAAUAAAAACGAACGUGUGCGGCAUUCGUUGCUGUUUUUGCCAAGUUUUUGUAACACUCUCUCUCGGUGUGUGUUCGUGUGUGUGUUGGUUUUGUUUAAUGCUAAUAACACACAGAUACACACGCACACUUAUACAGUGGCAAACGCACAGUUAGUAGAAACAAUAUUGCAAAUGUGUGCGGCAAAGCAGUUGAAAAAAGUGUCGUAAAUCGUUUAGACGGCAAACGUGGCAAGCGCCCAGGACACGGACAUGGACACAAACGCAGAUUGUAGGAUCCGCAGGACGAUAUGUAAACGACAAUGCCACCGUGGGAAAAACAAAAAAAAAAUACAUAAGCAACUGCGAAAGGAGCAACAGCAGCGCCGCAGGAUGCUGUCGUUUGAUAGCGAGUCCUUUGCUCAUUUCAUGUUGAAAAACUUUUAAACACCAAAUGUAGACUGAAAAAUGUGUGGAGCUUGUAAGAAGCCUUUAAAAUGAUUGAAGAGAAUGUUUAACAAAUAAGUGAACAAAUUAAAUUAAAAUGCGUUCUCGAGUUGGAAAUCUUUUUUGGAUGCAAGGCCUCUUCAAAUAUAUUGUUAUUUAUUUCUUGAAAAAUUGUUAUAUGCCACAACAAUAAAUAUAAAAAUAUUGCUAUAAAUA